RNAcentral lists this ribosomal RNA (549 nucleotides) under Staphylococcus sp. Its description in RNAcentral is "bacterial SSU rRNA". It matches the Rfam family "Bacterial small subunit ribosomal RNA", at positions 355 to 896 of the family's 1533-position model. The record is from RNAcentral. Lineage: Bacteria; Bacillati; Bacillota; Bacilli; Caryophanales; Staphylococcaceae.
UAGGGAAUCUUCCGCAAUGGGCGAAAGCCUGACGGAGCAACGCCGCGUGAGUGAUGAAGGUCUUCGGAUCGUAAAACUCUGUUGUUAGGGAAGAACAAAUUUGUUAGUAACUGAACAAGUCUUGACGGUACCUAACCAGAAAGCCACGGCUAACUACGUGCCAGCAGCCGCGGUAAUACGUAGGUGGCAAGCGUUAUCCGGAAUUAUUGGGCGUAAAGCGCGCGUAGGCGGUUUCUUAAGUCUGAUGUGAAAGCCCACGGCUCAACCGUGGAGGGUCAUUGGAAACUGGGAAACUUGAGUGCAGAAGAGGAGAGUGGAAUUCCAUGUGUAGCGGUGAAAUGCGCAGAGAUAUGGAGGAACACCAGUGGCGAAGGCGGCUCUCUGGUCUGUAACUGACGCUGAUGUGCGAAAGCGUGGGGAUCAAACAGGAUUAGAUACCCUGGUAGUCCACGCCGUAAACGAUGAGUGCUAAGUGUUAGGGGUUUCCGCCCCUUAGUGCUGCAGCUAACGCAUUAAGCACUCCGCCUGGGGAGUACGACCGCAAGGUUG